CCCCCCAGACGCAGAGGGGUCGCACCCGCACGCGCAGAGCGACGGACGCCACGCAGACGCGCGGCCGGAAGGCCUACCAGUGAGCGGCUGCGGCCCGGGCCCGAGGCAGGGGAGCCACGCGGAAAGUCCGGGAGGAGCCGCAGCCGUGGGUCCGGAGAAUCGCAAGGCUCCCGUGGCGGCGGGAAGGGGGUGAGGUGGGGGCAGAUCGGGGCACCGGCCAGUGCCGUGGGAGCUCAGAGCCCGAGGGCGGGAGCGAGCACCAUCCGGGGAUUUGUCCUGGCUCCUCCUUGGCAGCCACAAAGAUGGAGCCUCGCGCCACCUGCUGAGACGAAGGCUGACAGAGUCCCUCCCCCCCCCCCCAACCGUGUCCGAACCGGGUGGACAUCCACCAACCGCCGGGCAAACGGAGCGGGUUGGGGGAGAGCCCGGCGUGUCCUCCCCGAGACGCGGGGCGCGGAGCCGCGAUGCCUGGUCACCUGCGUGGGGCGGAGGGGUGGCUCGGGGCCGUGCCCUUGGGCUGUGUCUUGGCCCGGGGUCCCCCCCACCCCCCGGACAGCUCCCCGCGGAGGGCACGCUCCAGGAAGCGACCGUGUGUGGGCAGGCCAGAGGGUGGCACCCGGUUCCGGGCCGGCGGGCGACCUGGGCGCGGGCAGCAGCUGGGGAGGCGCCCGGCCGCCCUCGGGACCCAGAGCCCCGCCCGGCCUCCCCCGUGGCCCCGGAGCUCCGCUGGGACGCCCAAACGGCCGGUCCCGACAGGCCUCCCUCCUCCAGCCGCCGUGGCUGGCGUGCCGACGCCUCGUUUGCCAAGUGACGGGCUCGGUGACAAACGAGCCCGGGACUCACGCACCGCCGGGAAGCCACGGAGCCUCUGAGGCUGCGUCCCGGCGAGAACCAGGUCUGUGCAGCCAAGCUCAGCGAGACCGAUCUGGCCGAGCCCCUCUUCUGGCUCCGGGAUCUCACCUCGGGGAGUGGAGGUCACGGGUGUCGUCCCAUACCUCUUCUGCCCUCCUACGUGUUCUUGGACGGGAGUCAUUUCCUUGUUAA
RNAcentral lists this long non-coding RNA (1044 nucleotides) under Felis catus (domestic cat). Its description in RNAcentral is "lncRNA (ENSFCAG00000052036.1)". Lineage: Eukaryota; Metazoa; Chordata; Mammalia; Carnivora; Felidae. The record is from RNAcentral.